RNAcentral lists this ribosomal RNA (780 nucleotides) under Triticum aestivum (bread wheat). Its description in RNAcentral is "partial small subunit ribosomal RNA". The record is from RNAcentral. Lineage: Eukaryota; Viridiplantae; Streptophyta; Magnoliopsida; Poales; Poaceae.
AUGGCGGAUGCGAGGAACAAGUUUGCACAAUCGAAUGAAGACACACCCUUUGGACGACACUUGAAGGAAGUCACUAGGUACAUGAACAUCGGAAUACCAAGCUUCACCGGGACCUACAACGUCACUUUACCAAAAGAGGAGCGCUGGAUGAUCCAAGUUCAAGUUCCAGGAAGGACGUUCAUGCCAGUCACUGAGCCCAUAGAGUUUUCCUUUGACGCACCCACCUGGAGUCUAGGCAAGAGCAUGGCCGCCCACAUCACCAUGGGACACAUUGGAGAAGUUUACCACAUGGAUCUCAAGGAUACUAUUUACCAGAUUUGUGGGCGCCGAAAUGACCAAUGGAAGAUGAUCAGCACCAGGAAGGAUAGAUCUAUUGCAGCUUUUAUCCAGGAGUUAAACCAGCACAUUCGCCGCCAGGAGAACCAGAUGUGCGCAGGCAUGAUAGAUCUGAAGAAGGCAAUGACAAGGAUCACCGAGCUUGAAGAGGAACUCAAGGCUACUCGCGAAGAUUAUGAGGAGGAAAUCAUCGUACUAGUGGAGAAAAAUGACGACCUGACAAGAAAGCUGAGAGUAUUCAUGGGAGACCCUGCACCAGGAGGAGAAGAUGACGAUUCCACCUACCCGGAGAACUAUAUCCUCAUCGACGACACCGACUCGGACCCCGACGAUAGCGAUGAUGACUUUGUUGAUGAAGCUGGAGCAGAUAUUAUGGAGUCUUCUACCGAGCAAUUUUUUCUAGUCGACCACCAUAACAGUAGUAGUAUUCCCCCAUGUAUAUAG